CCAUGUUACCUUCCCAAAAUUCCCAGGUGGGUAGUUUUCGUGGAUUGCCCCCUCAUGCUCGUGGUUAUGGAACUCAGGACGCUCGGUUUGAUGAAAGACCUUUUGAGGCUAGGACAUUGUCUGUUCCAUUGCCUCAAAGACCACUUGGGGACGAUUCUAUUACAUUGGGGCCCCAGGGUGGUCUUGGUCGAGGAAUGUCUUCUAUUAGAGGACCACUGCCAAUGCCUGGUACCCGCUUAGCUG
Molecule: long non-coding RNA, 243 nt
Filed under: Carica papaya (papaya)
Lineage: Eukaryota; Viridiplantae; Streptophyta; Magnoliopsida; Brassicales; Caricaceae
Description: long non-coding RNA (CPAP_LNC008670)
Source: RNAcentral